Long non-coding RNA from Cydia pomonella (codling moth), 5648 nucleotides. RefSeq lists it as uncharacterized. Lineage: Eukaryota; Metazoa; Arthropoda; Insecta; Lepidoptera; Tortricidae. The record is from RefSeq and is a predicted model, not a curated record. The transcript is spliced from 2 exons.
UUGUAGCAAGUAAAGUUCUUGAAGACAUUUGUGUCAUAAGGUCUAGUUCUGAGGAUGGGUUCCAUGAGAAAUCGAAGAAAUUCCUCAAAUCUUAUAGGCAUACAAUACAUACAGUAAUGUUUGGAUUCUCGUCAACAUAUCAAGCAUUUUUAUUUAAACAAGUUAGUGAUAUUGACCAGAACGGAACUCUUCAACGCGCGCUAGGUUCAGCUAGGUUCUUAGGAAACAUUUGUGUCAAGGUCCAGUUCUGAUGAUGGAUUCAAUGAGGAAUUGAGGAUUUUAAAUCGAUUUGAAUUCACAAUUAGGAGGAAUUGAGGAUUUUCGUCAACAUAUCAAGUUUUUUUUAUUUGAACAAGUGACAUUUGAUGAAGUGAAACUGCUGAUAUUACUGAAACUAUGCUGAUACUGCUGAAAUGGAACUCUUCAACGACAAGUAUUUUACCUUAGGCGUUUUUUUUUUUUUUUUCGUUUAUAGCAUGUAAGGCUUUUAAGGAACAUUUGUGUCAAGGUCCAGUUCUGAUGAUAGGUUCUACGAGAAACUGAAGGAGCUUCUCAUAUUGUAUAGGAUAGGCAUACAUAUAGUCAUUUUAGGAUUUUCAUCAAUAUUACAAGCAUUUUUACUCAAUAAAGUGACAUUUGUUGAAGUAGAAUUGCUGAUGAAGAACGGAACACCUCAACGACUUCCAGAUUCUUUAUUUUUAUUACUCUUCUUCCUUUUUCAUUAUUCUUAGAACAGGUAUUUCUACGAAGUGAACCGAACUGCUACUAUUAAAAGUAGCUAGGUAGGUAGGUUAAAUAGGUUAAAACUGUAAGGAUUAUUAUGUAUAAGUAGUUUCUUUUAAUUAAACAUAGGUAAGUAAUUCUAUUUAAGUAUAAGUAUCUUUAAAAAAACAUCAAUCGACUCUUAUCUGUCACUAGUUCCAGUUUCAGAGUAUAAAAUCCGGGUACACAGCCACGGCUAGCCGGGUAGCCAGACAGUUCGAAUACGGAUACGGACAAGUUAUUGUGAAUAAAAAAAUCUUAUCGUCUUGCAAAAGUUAAUGUCAUAAAUGUAUAGGUUUCGAAUACAUGAAUAUAAAGUGAAAAUGCUGGUAAAAGUAUUAGUUUUUAUCAUUAACCAUUUUAUAUCCCAACAAAACUGUUACCCUUACAAAAAUAAAAUGCAAUAAUCAAAGCUUGUACUAUGGGUACUAGGCGACGUUAAACAUACUUAUUUAGAUAAAUAUAUAUUUACGUAUAUACAUAGAAAACACGCAAGCCUUAGGAACAAAUAUCUGUAUUCAUCACACAAAGAAAUGCCCUUACGCGAUUCAAACUCGGGACCAUCGGCUUCAUAGGCAGGGUCACUACCCACUAGGCCAAACCGGUCGGCAAAAGGUAAAGAUAAUUAGGUAAAGACAAUGAAUAAUUAAACGUAUUAUAAAUUGACACCAAUAUCCAUCAAAUAGUAUAACUAGGUAUGCUAAGAGUGGGCUUCAGGCCAUUACGUCGCACCUUUAGAAUUAAAUUAAUUUGACUCAAAAAGUACGACUACUUUAUAUAAUAUAUAAAUGUUACUACCAAACUACAUAUUAUGUAGUUUGGUAGAACAGUAAGAACUCACUAUAUGUGUCUCUUUUUCAUGCGGUGAAAUCCCCCCCACCCGGAAAGGAUAGCGACGCCCAUUUUAUCGACUCUCGAGUCGACUCCAAUCUGAUACUAAUAAAACCAUACGGAAAUAAUGAGGAUGCAUCGACAUAAGAAGAAUCGAACAUGGGCAAGAUAAAGUUCAAGAAAAAAGCAAAUAUAAUGUGUACUUGUGUGUAGUCAAAGAAAGUUGAAAAAUAAAGCAUAAUUAAUGGCCAUAGAAUACAGAACCGAUACACGAACAUUAAGACUAUUAAAAAUAGACAUAUAGGUUGAUCGUACUACUCGUACUAAUGUAUAUCUUUUGUUCAAUUAUAUUAUUGCAUUAAAGUUAGAUUCUCUAGAUAUAUAUUAUUCAUAGGUUCUGUAUUCUAUACGACUUGUUUCAGUGUAAUUAUUGUACUAAAUACCGUUGACCGCCUGUCAACAGUAUUUAUUUCUACAUUACUAUCACAGAAGAUUUUAGGCCCUACCGUACAGUUUUUGAAUUAGUAUUUACUAUGGACAAAUAUAGCGAAAUGUGAGUUUUUACCUAAAAUAUCAAUCUUUUGUGAACGUGGUGUAGAGUAUAUACCGCCUAAGACUAAGUAGCUACGCGGGUUACGUUUUAAAAAUAGAAUCGUGUUCAUGGUCGGCCCAUGGUAAAAAUAAUUAGGUACCCGUAGACCCGCUGGUGAACACUGUUUAUGAUAACACUUAAAAUAAACCCCGUGGACCCACCAGGAGAACAUAUGGGAGAGACUAGAGAUAAUACACCGCUUUAAGGGCGGUCGCACUCGGCAUUGACAUCUGGCGUCUAGAUGGCGGGUGGACCUCAGCGAAUUUCAAAGAAAUAUUUAUAAACAUCCAAUGACGUUCGGCUCGGACACCAGAUCUUCAAUCUCCUGAUUCCUGUGGAGUCUCCAGGUUCCAUCCUCUCCACGUGUGAGUCCUAGGAUUUUUCGCGCUGCCAGACUCCGAUGACUCGGGCACGUAGUCCAGAUGGGUGAGGAUCGUGCAGCCUGGAGGGCGUACUCUGAAGUUCCAAAUGGCCGAAGACCGUCUAGACGUCCUAGGUAGGUCCCGCUGGAGAGACGAAAUGCAAAAAGACCUUAGCGAACUCGGCGCCGUCGACUAGAUGGAAACGGUUUUGGACAGAGAAGCAUGGCGGUCUUUGGUGUCGGAGGCCAAGAUCCACUUCGGGUCGCUGCGCCAUAGCAGUAAGUAUUUAUAAACAUACUGUACCUUCUGUGUAGCUAACCCAAAACGAGAUAUUUAAGAAAAAGUCCACCCGCCAUUCUGACGUCAGGAUUGCGGUUGGACCUAUGAAAUCUUGCAUUAUACCGCACUAAAAGUAUGCAGUUAUAUGGUACAGUCGCCAUCAGAUAUAUCGGAGUGGCCGAGGUGCUCAAAGAUCUCUAAACACGCACUCUAACCUCUUGACAGUAGAGGCAUGUUCAGAUAUUCGUGGGUACCUUGGCCGCUCCGAUAUAUAUGAUGGUGACUGUACCUUCAGUGUACCUCUGUAAAUAGAAAUAGAAACCGGUGUACCUCUCCCCAAAACAAGCUAGGCUAAGCUCAUGCACAAUAUAACUGCAUACUUUUAGUGCGGUAUAAUGCAAGAUUUCAUAGGUCCACCCGCCAUCCUGACGUCAGGUUGGCGGGUGGACCGUUUUGUAAAAUAUCUCGUUUCGGGGAAAGGUACACUGGUUUCUAUUAAAGGUACACUGAGGUACACAGAAGGUACAAUAUGUUUAUAAAUAUUUCUUUGAAAUUCGCUGAGGUCCACCGCCAUCCUGACGCUUACCAUAUAUCUAAGGACCGACCUUAGGGGCAAUAACGAUAGUGCUAGUUCAGUUGUGUCAUUCACAAAUUCGAGCCAAUCGUGCUGUCUAACGCAACUAGAUGCGAUCAAUCGCGUGCGUAAUGCGAACUCAUCAACCAAUCACGUUGUGGUAGUGGUACUUGUGGCGUUAGACUGCACGAUUGGCUCAAACUCGUGUGCGUAACACCGCUGUACUGGCCCCAAUCUUAUUGCCCGUAAGGCCCGUCCUCAGAUAUAUUAUGUCAAUGACACAGUCGCGAUUUUAAAAAAUCACAUCGCUUCUGCUACCAAGUUGUUGAGCAUAACGUUUUCCUAUCCACAGGUUCCAUCUGUCCAGUAGGAUCCACCAUCUCGAUCCACCAGAUUGAAGAGAUUGUUACUUAACUGAUGGAUCGAGAUAAUGAAACCUACUGAAUAGAGCGGGUCGAUUGGAUAUAACAAAGUACGCUUAUAUGAAACGCUACUCCGGUGUGCGAGUGAGACAGUCAGGCCAAUUUGAACUUGCAUUUGACAGAAAACUGUCUCCAUCAAACGCUACCAGUUCCAUUGCCGGCCUCUUCGCUGCCUUCUAUAGUGGUUCAAUCUUACCUUGCUUAUGAAUAAAAAGGGGCGUGCACACCGAUAUUAGAGUAAUAUUGGAAUCAUAUCAGUUAGUUGCGGGCGUCUCGCUCGCACAAAUACAUGCGUAUAAGUGCGAAAUGAACGCACGAAUGACAGCUAACUGGUAUCAUUCCAAUAUUAUUCUAAAAUUGGUUUAAUGUCAGUUGCACUUUCGAAUUGGCCUACAUAGCGAUUUCCUUAGCCUGCACACCGGAUCGGCGUGUGGGCCGGCAUCUAGCUAAUGUAAAGCCACCUCAUUAGGUGCUUUUAGCCUUUUGAACGGCAAGAACACCUAAAGAUGUGGUGAGAGAAAGCCGCGCGUCCCUCAUGCACUGCACUAGCUUUACAGCUUGCAUUGCGACCAAUGUAUGCCGCUCACCGCCCCGCCGGUCGCGUGGGUCCAAUCCGCGGCCCUAGAAGACGUACUUUACAUAUAAACAAGAGCACGCGAGCAUAUUGCGAGUUGUGUAUGUGUACUUGUGUUAUCUAGGCGCACAAACGGUUACAAUAACAAGAAGUGUACACCGCGUGUGCAGUCCAACACGGGAGCACGGGUGCGAUUCGAAAAUAACGCGCUAGCGACGCAUUACGACAUUGAUACUUUACCAUUUGAACGCCAUAAACAAAAACGUUACUCACACGCCAAGGUCACGGGCGCAAGUGAGCUUGAAAGUGCAUGAGUAUUACAUUAGGGACUUUGACAGCGAUUAUAACAGCUAUAAUCAUUAAUGUGUUCAUGGCCCUUAAAUCAUGUCUAGUGACGGCGCCUUUAGGUGUUCUUGACGUUCAAAAGGUUAAGGGCGUUUGCUAGCUGGCGCUAGUGCACGGAGCGAGCAAACACGCGCAGGUGCCUUUGUAAGUAAAAUCAGUCGCACGCGUCCGCGCCAGUUAGCGUUGCUGAUACUGUAAGCCGCACGCCCGCUCCAUGCACACGCGAGACGUUGCGGACGCCCUAUGCCCUAAACCUUACUUGAAAGUGUGAAGGUUACUCUGACAGCGGAUAUAUCAGCUAUAAUGUAUUUAUGACGCUUUGAGCAUAGCUAGUUAAGACGCCUUAAGGUAUUCUUGGCGUUUAAAAGGUUAAGGGCGUUUGCUAGCUGGCGCGAGUGCACGGAGCGGGUGCACGCGCGCGGGUGCCUUUGUAGGUAAAAUUCGUCGCACGCGUCCGCGCCAGUUAGCGUCGCCAGUUACUGUUUUUCGUUAACCCGCUCCAGCUAGCAAACUAAUCGCAAAUGGUCCGAGAUUGGCGCAAUAACCAUGCAUUACCUUAUCUGGAUCUGGAUGCACCUAUUCACCAAUGCUUGCUUUAAAGUAACUUGUCGACUCGUCCUGAUAAUAUUUGUGCGACCGUGAAGAAAAUCUAUGCCGUCACUUAUUUUUCAAUUUAUAUGAAAUAAAGAUGUUAAAUGUAUUCAAAAGUUUUUAUUUAAUAAGGUAUGUAUAAGUGCUCUGUGCAUCCGCACCAGCUAGCGGUGCCCUUAGCAAACCAAUCGCAAAUGGUCCGAGAUUGGCGCAAUAACCAUGCAUUCUCUUAUCUGGAUCUGGAUGCACCUAUUCACUAGAAAAUGUAUGCCGUCAGUUAUUUUUCAAUUUAUAUGAAAUAAAGGUGUUAAAGGUA